GGGCGAGUGGCGGAAUUGGUAGACGCGCUGGGUUCAGGACCCAGUGAGCAUUUUAGCUCGUGGAGGUUCGAGUCCUCUCUCGCCCA
Molecule: transfer RNA, 86 nt
Filed under: bacterium
Lineage: Bacteria
Description: tRNA-Leu
Rfam family: tRNA
About the family: Transfer RNA (tRNA) molecules are approximately 80 nucleotides in length. Their secondary structure includes four short double-helical elements and three loops (D, anti-codon, and T loops).
Source: RNAcentral